AUCACCAUAAAAUGACCGGCUGAAUGUAGCUUCGAUCUCGGUUGAAGUGUUAUAGCCUCUGGUAGAUGUGAUGAUUGGGACUGAGGAUUGCAACGAAUAUCCUUUAGGCUAUCCGUCUGAUCUCUGAAAGUUGCUCAGGUGCCGAAAGCGUGCUUACGGUCAUCUAAGUUGACGGUCAACAGGUUAGAACGUGAUUACAUUCGUUAAGGAUGUUGGCGUAAUGGCUUUAAACGACCCGUCUUGAAACACGG
RNAcentral lists this ribosomal RNA (251 nucleotides) under Glomus sp. RNAcentral's name for it is "partial small subunit ribosomal RNA". Lineage: Eukaryota; Fungi; Glomeromycota; Glomeromycetes; Glomerales; Glomeraceae. The record is from RNAcentral.